This 545-nucleotide long non-coding RNA is filed under the name Homo sapiens (human). RNAcentral describes it as "HSALNT0075024". Lineage: Eukaryota; Metazoa; Chordata; Mammalia; Primates; Hominidae. The record is from RNAcentral.
GGUGUCUGAGAGGUUUUGUCUGCGGCUCGUCCUGCUACAUUUCUUGGUUCCCUGACUGGGAAGCGAGGUGACUGAUGGAUAGCUGAGGCAGCCCCUUAGGUGACUUAAGCCUGCCCUGUGGAGCAUCCCUGAGGGGGACUCCAGCCAGCCUGAGUGACGUGAUCCAAAGAGCGCUCCCGGGUAGGAAACUGCCCCAGUGGAACACCUCGCCAGAGCAGCGCACAUAGCAGGCCCCCGAGGAGGAUUAACACAGUGGCUGAACACCAGGAAGGAACUGGCACUUGGAGUCCGGACAUCUGAAACUUGGUAAGACUAGUCUUUGGAACUUGCCUCACUCCAUCUGAGUGGAAGCGUGGCCUGAUCACCCACAGCGUGCCUGCAUUGGCACUCUUGUUCUGGUUUUGACUUGACUUGAAUUGCUGGAUACUUUGGUUUUGGUUUUGACUUGGCUGGAAUUUUUUGAUACUUGGAUUUUGAAUUUCAUGAUUUUGGUUUGGUAUAAACGGUAGAAGUGUGUGUGUGCCCUCUUUACCUGUUCUUUGUCU